This 226-nucleotide long non-coding RNA is filed under the name Penaeus japonicus. Its description in RNAcentral is "uncharacterized LOC122244530". Lineage: Eukaryota; Metazoa; Arthropoda; Malacostraca; Decapoda; Penaeidae. The record is from RNAcentral.
GCAGCCGCCUUUUCACGUCCCUUCAGUUGAGUGUGGCGCCUACAUUAACAACAUCACCUUGAAGUUAAUGCUCAUCAGAAUCAUGGGCAUAGCCAGACUAGCUAAUCGUCUUUUCUUAAUAAUUAUUCUUAUCUUUCUGGCUCUCGUGAUCUUAUACGAUUAUAACAAGCAGGUCAUCCUGGAAGAUUUGACUCUCCGCAAAUAUUUCGAUUCAGCAGGUGAGCGC